AUCUCUUUCCUUGACCACUAACUGAUCGAUUGCUCAAUGUUCUGUCUUGUUUUGGUUUCUCUUUUCAUUUGUAGAAUUUUAGCUUCCAUUCGAGGUUCAUCAUCAUGUGGUUAGAGGCGAUUUAACUUUGGAUAAAAUGGCUAUAAUAUUUCUCUUCAUUUUCAGGUCUGGCAUUUUGAGCUUUACUUCGUUUAGGUUGUCUUCGCAAUCUUGGAAAAAUUGGAAAUCACUGAUAGUUAUCAUGGAAAGAAGAUAUGGCACAGCCAAGUCGCUCCAGGUUCCUUCGGCAAACUAAAAGAAUUGAGAAUUGCAUUUUGUGGAGCUGUAGAGACUGUUUUUCCAUGUGGAGUCUGGAGCAAUUUCAAAAGAUUAGAGGUUUUGUCUGUGCAGUAUUGUGAUUCCUUACAAGAGAUAUAUCAAGUCCAAGAAGAGAUCAAUGUUGAAGAAACAAAUGUUGUAGCUGUUUUUGAGUUCACAGAAUUGCAUAUUCAAGGAUUGCACAACUUGAAGCAUAUAUGGAAUAAGGAUCCACAACAAGGUGUCGCCUUUCCCCAUUUGCGAUCAGUAAAGGUUUCAAAUUGUAAGGUCCUGAAAGAUCUCUUUUCAGCCUCCAUAGGCAAGGGUCCUUUGCAACUCGAAGACAUAAAUAUAAAAAAUUGUUGUAUGAUGGAAGAGAUCAUCAAAUCGGAAGUAGCAGGGGAAGCAAUAUCCAAUCUGAUCAGCUUCCCUUCGUUGAUCUCCAUAGAUCUGCUAAAGUUGCCUACCUUGUCAAAGUUUUUAUUCAGGAAGCUAUAAUUUGGAAUGUCCAUUUUGAAAAGGAUCAAGAUCGUUCAUUGUCCAAAAAUUAAUUCAUCCAAUGCACGUAUAUUUGGUCAUAAGGUUAGUAUGCUUUGUUGAAAAGUUAUUUUAUUUCCUGAAUUUGAUUUUGCCCACUUCUUUUCUUCUAUGUCAUUCUCACCAUUCACAAAAUUUACGAUGAACCACGUUAAAUUUUACAUUUUUUAUUUUGUGUGGGUGUGAUUUUUUCUCAACAAUAUUGUUUGCUAAAUUUUAGUCCUCGUGUGUAAACACAAUAUAGUAGUGGAAAGUGAAGCUUAUGUCAGUCAGAAUAAGUACGAGGACUGGUCUGUGAAUCUCAUCAAUGUCAAACAACAGGAGAUACUGCAAUAAAUGAAAGGCAAAUCUGUGAGUGAUGCUAAUGCUGUCAAUUUUUCUGUUUUACAGAUUCCUGUAGGUAAUAUUUCUUCCUUUCCUGCUGUACCUGUUGUUUCUUCGCUUAUUUUUUAUCAUUUAUACCUUGCAUUUUAAGUUAAUUUGUCAUCUCAAUCUGAACCAACAUCUUAUCAUGAAGCUAAAACUCUUCCUAAUUGGGUUGAGGCUAUGCAAAAGGAUUGACAACAUUGGCAUAGUAGCUUACUUAACUUCCUCCAAAAAAGAAACGUAUUGCAUCUAAAUGGGUUUUCAAAAAAAAAUAUAAUCCUAAUGGAACUAUUGAGAGAUAUGAGGCUAGGUUGGUAGUAAAGGGUUAAAAUCAAUUGGUUGGCAUUGACUACAUAGAUAUUUUUGCACCUGUGGCUAAGCUUGUUUUCGCAAGUUUUUAGCUAUACCUACUACACAGUCAUGGUCCAUUCAUCAAUUAGACAUUAGCAAGACAUUCCUUCAUGGGUAUAUUGAUGAAGAUUUAUAUACGUUGCCUCCUGAAGGAUAUUAUAAAUCACAACAAGGGCAGAUUUGCAUGCUCACUAAGUCCUUGUAUGGACUUAAUCAAGCAAGUAGGCAAAGGAAUAGGGAGUUUACUAAGAAUUUGCUGAAUUUUAGUUUUACUCAAUCCUCAUCUGAUCAUUGUUUGUUUGUGAAGUGGUCUGCUGAUAGUUUCAUUACUUUGUUGGUAUAUAUUGAUAAUGUUUUGAUUACAGGGGUCAAUGAAAAAGAUACAAUUGCCACUAAGUAAUUUUUGUCUUUCUUCUCACCAGCAACCUGCAGAAUUGUUGAACAAGUACUUGUCUUCAGUUUCAUUUUAUUUUCUCUUGGCCAAGAUGGGACUUGUGGAGUUAUCCUUGUCUCCAUCUUGAGGGGGGUGUAAUCAUAUUUAUUAGUCAGCUUAAAGUGAUCUAGUUACUCUGUAAGUUGGGGUUGUUCUGUUUCUGUUAGUUACUAACAGCUGCAGCUCAGCAUGUAGGGAUUAGUUUUUUUACUUUCAUUCAUGUAUAAAUACUUAAUAUAUUAAUCAAAUUAUAUGACUACUGAAGAUUAUUCUUCAA
RNA transcript from Hevea brasiliensis (rubber tree), 2261 nucleotides. RefSeq lists it as uncharacterized. NCBI's taxonomy places the organism in Eukaryota, Viridiplantae, Streptophyta, Magnoliopsida, Malpighiales, Euphorbiaceae. The transcript has 2 exons. The record is from RefSeq and is a predicted model, not a curated record.